CUUCUGUGCCGCAGUUAACGCAUUAAGUACCCCGCCUGGGGAGUACGGUCGCAAGGUUGAAACUCAAAGGAAUUGACGGGGGCCCGCACAAGCGGUGGAGCAUGUGGUUUAAUUCGACGCAACGCGAAGAACCUUACCAGGGCUUGACAUCUACCUGACGCUGGAUAGAGAUAUCCGGUUCUCUUCGGAGCGGGUGGACAGGUGGUGCAUGGUUGUCGUCAGCUCGUGUCGUGAGAUGUUGGGUUAAGUCCCGCAACGAGCGCAACCCUUAUUCUUAGUUGCCAGCAAGUGAAGUUGGGCACUCUAAGGAGACUGCCGGUGACAAACCGGAGGAAGGUGGGGACGACGUCAAAUCAUCAUGCCCUUUAUGUCCUGGGCUACACACGUGCUACAAUGGCCGGUACAACGGGUAGCGAGACUGUGAAGUUUAGCCAACCCCUUAAAGCCGGUCUCAGUUCGGAUUGCAGGCUGCAACUCGCCUGCAUGAAGUCGGAAUCGCUAGUAAUCGCGAAUCAGCACGUCGCGGUGAAUACGUUCCCGGGCCUUGUACACACCGCCCGUCACACCACGAAAGCCGGCAACACCCGAAGCCGGUGGGCCAACCGUAAGGAGGCAGCCGUCGAAGGUGGGGCUGGUGAUUGGGGUGAAGUCGUAACAAGGUAACCAAGGGCGAA
Molecule: ribosomal RNA, 674 nt
Filed under: uncultured bacterium
Lineage: Bacteria
Description: bacterial SSU rRNA
Rfam family: Bacterial small subunit ribosomal RNA
Source: RNAcentral